CGGUUUUCAUUGGUCCAUGGGAUGUUAAAGGCAGCCAGAUCUUCGGAAGGAAGACAGGAAAACCAGUGCAGUGCUGCAGUGUUGUGAUUGUGGUUCGUCCGUACUCCUCAGCCAUAUUUGUGGGAUUUUUCCAAAUCUUCUGCUCGUUGUUGUGGAAAGAUUUCAAGUCUUGGAUCAAGAGUCAGACAAUAUCUCCCCAAAGCUUUUGUGUCGUGUCAAGGUCCAGCGGGACUCACCUGUGGGUUCCUGACUUCCAGCAGCCCUGGAGUGAGAUAAUCAUACCGAAAUACAAGGUCUAGAGAAGAUUUUGACCAAGUCUAGAAGAUAACAGGAUACGGAAAGGGGAGGG
Molecule: long non-coding RNA, 349 nt
Organism: Macrobrachium nipponense
Lineage: Eukaryota; Metazoa; Arthropoda; Malacostraca; Decapoda; Palaemonidae
Exons: 3
Source: RefSeq, a predicted model, not a curated record